GUGACCUAAUAGAGGUGUAUAAGCAUCUCAAGGGGCACUACUCAGUCGGGUGUCCUUACCUGGAGGUGGCGGACGCUCGCCCCACAAGGGGUCACAGCUCAAGGUUGAAGAAACCUCAAGUCCAGACAACUGGUCCAGUGCUACUGCUAGAGCCCCCUGGCCUUGCCAUGCUAGCCAACGGUGGUCCAGAGAAUACAUGGGGACCGUUACCUAGACAUUCAAGAUGAUGUAAGGACUACACGAUAGAAGAAACAUGCCCGAUUAUGAGACCAAAUAAUGCCAAUACUGAAUGUCAUUGUUCUAACCCCUUCACUAUGGGGGCGCCGCCUUUAAUAUUCUAUUUGCCCAAUGCCAGACGAUUUUAUUUAGCUCAGAAGGGAAUCCAUACACAAGGGACUAAGCUGUGUGAGAUUUUCCCAUAAACCAACUUGAGAAUAUGAUCAGGUUUCCAAAUGUGUUGUACUUCAAGAAAGUAGAGUUUUGCAUAUUCUGAUGUCAUGCACAAUUAUAGAGCCAUCAGCAUUACUGUAUGUUAAAAAGCCAUUUGUCCACUUUAGUACCAACAUACAUUACACAUACAGAUGAAAAUCAAGAUGCAAAGGCAUAAAAGAAAUAUCCCAAAUAAAGUUUACUAAAUAUU
Homarus americanus (American lobster) is the source of this 640-nucleotide long non-coding RNA. RefSeq lists it as uncharacterized. NCBI's taxonomy places the organism in Eukaryota, Metazoa, Arthropoda, Malacostraca, Decapoda, Nephropidae. The record is from RefSeq and is a predicted model, not a curated record. The transcript has 2 exons.